GCAAUUGGUCAUGAGUGACUCGGUCCUGAGGCCAGGGGUAAUCCCGCGACGACAUCGUCCAGGCCGAAAGGGAAUGUAGUUAAAAUUCUACAAGCAGGCGGUGGGUAUUGAGUGGCAACACAACUGAACUCAAAGACGUCGGGGCGAGGUCCUGGGGAGAGUUCUCUUUUCUUCUUAACAAAUCGCUGCCCUGGAGGUCUUUGCGACGAGAGAGGGCUAUCGGUUUGGAAGAGCAGCACACCCUUUGUGCUGUCCGGUGCACCUCCUUCGGCCCUUGAAAAUUUGAGGGAAAUCUUAUCGCUCGCCUGGCCGUACCCAUAACCGCAUCAGGUCUCCAAGGUUAGCAGCCUCUAGUACGUAGAACAAUGUAGAUAAGGGAAUUCGGCAAAUUAGAUCUGUAACUUUGGGAAAAAGAUUGGCUCUGAGGGCCAGGUCUUGGGCCUUCUGACCUCUUCAUAGCUUCGCAGGAAGGGGCGACCUGACCAGCGUUAGCGACUGUUGAGCCAGGAGUAACCCAGGACAGCGAAUGGCUAACUCAGAACUGGAGCAGCGAGGGGAAUCCGACUGUUUAAUUAAAACAAAGCAUUGUGAAGGCCUCAAAAGGUGUUGACACAAUGUGAUUUCUGCCCAGUGCUCUGAAUGUCAACGUGAAGAAAUUCAAUCAAGCGCGGGUAAACGGCGGGAGUAACUAUGACUCUCUU
Non-coding RNA from Blepharisma stoltei, 701 nucleotides. Lineage: Eukaryota; Ciliophora; Heterotrichea; Heterotrichida; Blepharismidae. The record is from the annotation of a GenBank genome assembly.